Humulus lupulus (European hop) is the source of this 275-nucleotide long non-coding RNA. RefSeq lists it as uncharacterized. NCBI's taxonomy places the organism in Eukaryota, Viridiplantae, Streptophyta, Magnoliopsida, Rosales, Cannabaceae. The record is from RefSeq and is a predicted model, not a curated record. The transcript is spliced from 4 exons.
GUGUAGAGAGAGAGGGAGAAGAAGAAAGAAAGGAAGAAAGAAGAAGAAGGUGAAGAGGAACCCAUUUUAGAGCUUGAACAAGGGGUGUGAAGUUUGGGUGUUGAUCAUAUUGUGUUCUUGAUUUUACAAUCAAGAGAGGCUCGUUGAAAGAUUGUGAAAAUUUCUUAGCUUGGACCUGAGGUAGCAAAUAGGAUUUCUUUAUGGCACGCGUGGUGACGUGAGGAGUUCUAUCAUCAUGGGGUGUAUGGCGUGGGGUAAUCCUAUGGACGAAAAAA